CGAAAGCCUGACGGAGCAACGCCGCGUGAGGGAUGAAGGCCUCUGGGCUGUAAACCGCUUUUAUCAAGGAAGAAGAUCUGACGGUACUUGAUGAAUAAGCCACGGCUAAUUCCGUGCCAGCAGCCGCGGUAAUACGGGAGUGGCAAGCGUUAUCCGGAAUUAUUGGGCGUAAAGCGUCCGCAGGCGGCCUUGUAAGUCUGUCGUCAAAGCGUGGAGCUUAACUCCAUUUAAGCGAUGGAAACUGCAAGGCUAGAGUGUGGUAGGGGCAGAGGGAAUUCCCGGUGUAGCGGUGAAAUGCGUAGAUAUCGGGAAGAACACCAGUGGCGAAGGCGCUCUGCUGGGCCAUAACUGACGCUCAUGGACGAAAGCCAGGGGAGCG
RNAcentral lists this ribosomal RNA (379 nucleotides) under uncultured cyanobacterium. Its description in RNAcentral is "bacterial SSU rRNA". It matches the Rfam family "Bacterial small subunit ribosomal RNA", at positions 376 to 770 of the family's 1533-position model. Lineage: Bacteria; Bacillati; Cyanobacteriota. The record is from RNAcentral.